Molecule: non-coding RNA, 210 nt
Organism: Oryza meridionalis
Lineage: Eukaryota; Viridiplantae; Streptophyta; Magnoliopsida; Poales; Poaceae
Source: Rfam
AAUAAGUGUAGUUUUACACUAUUCAUUUCCAACGUUUAACCGUUCAUCUUAUUAGAAAUUAUUUUAUGAUUAGUAUUAUUAUUAUUAUUAGAUUGUAAAACAUAAAUAGUUUUUUUAUGUGUGACUAUUUUUUAAAAAGGAAAUUUCAUAUUUUUUUAAAUAAGAUGGACAGCCAAUCGUUAAAUAUAGAUACCCACGACUACACUUAUU